CUGGCAGUGAAGGCAAUAGGGCAUCACCAGAGAGAGUUGCUGGAGUUUAUGUUUCUAAGAUGGGGCUAUGUCCUGGUUCUUUCCAAGUUUCAAAUGAGUCAGUAGGAGACAAGGAGAAAUGUAGAGGGGCCUGGAGCUCAGAGGAAGGAUACCCAAAGCAGGUGGAAACAGAACUCCAGCGUUGACAGAAAAAGAAAUCUCCUUUGUCCUGGUGUUGGGGAGAAGAUGGAUCCAGAGAGAUGACUCUGCUUAUGUCCUACCUAGCUCAUUUUCUGUUGGAUAGCAGGACACAUGAGACUGAGUAACUUACAAAGGACAUACACUAUUUGUGUUCAUGAUUUUGGAAGUCCAAAACUGGUGCCUUCCUCAGGGUUCUCAGAGAUCAGAAGAGGAUAUUGGAUUUCCUGUGAUUGGAGUGACAGAUAGUUGUAAGCUGGGAAUUGAACCUGAGUCCUCUGAAAAAACAAGUGCUCUUAGCUGCUGAGUCAUCACUGCAGCCUCUCACCACUCCUUCAGCCACUUCUGCUGCUGCUCCAGAGUCUGGAUCAUCUUGGUUAGACAGUUGACUGCAGAGGGAAGCCCCACACCUCUUUUGCCUCAUGACUUCCGAGCAUACACAGAGCUGGGUCCUUGUAGCAUCACACCCUGACUACAGCCAUCUUAUUGCCGACCAAAUAAGGUCAUCUUAUGCUGUCCAAUUCACUAACUCCUCAGUUCCCACUGUCUCUGAGUGGCGCACCUGUGACAAUCUGGCCUGUGCCCCCACUCCUGGAAUUCCAUGAGAUUAAACUGUUUCAUUUUGUGAUGCUUGGGGAAAGCAACAGAAUCAACGAUGUCACAAAGUCACCCAAUGCACUUGAAGUGUACAUGUGAUUCAGCAUACUUAGUUUCUUCUGUGUUUAUUUUUAUUUAUUUUUUAUGUAUACAGCAUUCUGCCUGAAUUGCAUGUAGGCCAGAAGAGAGCACCAGAUCUCAUUAUAGAU
RNAcentral lists this long non-coding RNA (983 nucleotides) under Cricetulus griseus (Chinese hamster). Its description in RNAcentral is "lncRNA (ENSCGRG00015033408.1)". Lineage: Eukaryota; Metazoa; Chordata; Mammalia; Rodentia; Cricetidae. The record is from RNAcentral.